UUGCCUCAGUAACGGCGAGUGAAGCGGCAACAGCUCAAAUUUGAAAUCUGGCCCCCUCGGGGUCCGAGUUGUAAUUUGUAGAGGGUGCUUUGGCGUUGGCCGUGGUCUAAGUUCCUUGGAACAGGACGUCACAGAGGGUGAGAAUCCCGUACGUGGCCGCCGGUCUUCGCCGUGUAAAGCCCCUUCGACGAGUCGAGUUGUUUGGGAAUGCAGCUCUAAAUGGGAGAUAAAUUUCUUCUAAAGCUAAAUAUUGGCCAGAGACCGAUAGCGCACAAGUAGAGUGAUCGAAAGAUGAAAAGCACUUUGGAAAGAGAGUCAAAAAGCACGUGAAAUUGUUGAAAGGGAAGCGCUUGCAGCCAGACGUGCCCGCAGUUGCUCACCUGGGCUCUCGCCCGGGGCACUCUUCUGCGGGCAGGCCAGCAUCAGUUCGGGCGGUUGGAUAAAGGCCUCUAUCACGUACCACCCUUCGGGGUGUCCUUAUAGGGGAGGCGCAACACGGCCAGCCCGAACUGAGGACCGCGCAUCAGCUAGGAUGCUGGCGUAAUGGCUGUAAGCGGCCCGUCUUGAAACACGGACCAAGGAGUCUAACAUCUAUGCGAGUGUUUGGGUGUAAAGCCCGGGCGCGCAAUGAAAGUGAACGGAGGUGGGAACCCCUUACGGGGUGCACCAUCGACCGAUCCUGAAGUUUACGGAAGGAUUUGAGUAAGAGCAUAGCUGUUGGGACCCGAAAGAUGGUGAACUAUGCCUGAAUAGGGUGAAGCCAGGGGAAACCCUGGUGGAGGCUCGCAGCGGUUCUGACGUGCAAAUCGAUCGUCAAAUUUGGGCAUAGGGGCGAAAGACU
Molecule: ribosomal RNA, 841 nt
Filed under: Neoroussoella alishanense
Lineage: Eukaryota; Fungi; Ascomycota; Dothideomycetes; Pleosporales; Thyridariaceae
Description: partial large subunit ribosomal RNA
Rfam family: Eukaryotic large subunit ribosomal RNA
Source: RNAcentral